UGGGGAAUAUUGGACAAUGGGCGCAAGCCUGAUCCAGCCAUGCCGCGUGAGUGACGAAGGCCUUAGGGUUGUAAAGCUCUUUUGGCGGGGAAGAUAAUGACGGUACCCGCAGAAUAAGCUCCGGCUAACUUCGUGCCAGCAGCCGCGGUAAUACGAAGGGAGCUAGCGUUGUUCGGAAUCACUGGGCGUAAAGCGCACGUAGGUGGGCAGUUAAGUCAGGGGUGAAAGCCCGAGGCUCAACCUCGGAAUUGCCUCUGAUACUGGCUGUCUAGAGUUCGAGAGAGGUGAGUGGAAUUCCUAGUGUAGAGGUGAAAUUCGUAGAUAUUAGGAAGAACACCGGUGGCGAAGGCGGCUCACUGGCUCGAUACUGACACUGAGGUGCGAAAGCGUGGGGAGCAAACAGGAUUAGAUACCCUCGUAGUCCCUGAGCGGGCUGGCAAGGCGCAU
Molecule: ribosomal RNA, 447 nt
Filed under: uncultured bacterium
Lineage: Bacteria
Description: bacterial SSU rRNA
Rfam family: Bacterial small subunit ribosomal RNA
Source: RNAcentral